This 425-nucleotide ribosomal RNA is filed under the name uncultured bacterium. Its description in RNAcentral is "bacterial SSU rRNA". It matches the Rfam family "Bacterial small subunit ribosomal RNA", at positions 354 to 796 of the family's 1533-position model. The record is from RNAcentral.
GUGGGGAAUUUUGCGCAAUGGGGGAAACCCUGACGCAGCGACGCCGCGUGAAGGACGAAGGCCUUCGGGUUGUAAACUUCUUUUAUGAGGGAAGAUAAUGACGGUACCUCAUGAAUAAGCCACGGCUAACUCUGUGCCAGCAGCCGCGGUAAGACAGAGGUGGCAAGCGUUGUUCGGAAUUACUGGGCUUAAAGGGCGCGUAGGCGGUCGGAUAAGUCAGAAGUGGAAUCCCAUGGCUCAACCAUGGAAUUGCUUUUGAAACUGUACGACUUGAGUCAGUGAGGGGAGGGCGGAAUUCCUGGUGUAGCAGUGAAAUGCGUAGAUAUCAGGAGGAAGGCCGGUGGCGAAGGCGGCCCUCUGGCACUUGACUGACGCUGAGGCGCGAAAGCGUGGGGAGCAAACAGGAUUAGAAACCCCAGUAGUCC